CCCUUCUGCUUGCGCCGGUAUCCCCUCCAGUCCUCUCCUUCAACCUUCUCUCUCAUUUCCACUCCUCUCCUCUCUUCGCCUCUGACUUGUUAAGAGCGACAUCAAGAAGAAUUGUUUUAGCUACAAAGACGCAGUCGAUAUCGACCAUGGCGAAUACGAGUGAGGAGAACAGUGGCAAUUUAAAGAAACAGUUGGCGAAAUUGUUUGAAGCAUCUCUUAGAGAGACUGUCCCUAGUGAGCACGAUGUUGAGCCUUUGGUUGCUGCCUGCACUGCCAAAUUCGGCGAUUAUCAAUGUAAUAAUGCCAUGAGCCUUUGGUCUAAAAUAAAAGGAAAAAAUACUGAUUUUAAGGGCCCUCCAGCAGUUGGACAGGCAAUAAUGAAAAAUCUUCCUCCGUCUGAAAUGAUAGAAUCUUGCUCUGUGGCAGGACCUGGUUUUGUGAAUGUUGUUUUGUCAAAGACCUGGUUGGCUGAGAAAAUUCAAAAUAUGCUAGUUGAUGGUAUUGAUACUUGGGCGCCCAAGUUUUCGAUCAAAAGGGCUGUGGUUGACUUUUCCUCACCCAAUAUUGCAAAAGAAAUGCAUGUUGGCCAUUUAAGAUCCACUAUUAUUGGUGACACACUAGCCCGAAUGCUUGAAUUCUCAAAGGUUGAUGUGCUUCGACGAAAUCAUGUUGGUGAUUGGGGGACACAGUUUGGUAUGUUGAUUGAAUUCCUCUUCGAAAAGUUCCCAAACUUUGAAGAUGUUAAUGAAAGAGCCAUUGGAGAUCUACAGGCAUUCUAUAAGGCAUCAAAACAGAGGUUUGACACUG
RNAcentral lists this unclassified non-coding RNA (807 nucleotides) under Hevea brasiliensis (rubber tree). The record is from RNAcentral. Lineage: Eukaryota; Viridiplantae; Streptophyta; Magnoliopsida; Malpighiales; Euphorbiaceae.